CUUAUUUUAUAUAAUGAAAAAAAAACUAUCUGCUCAUUGGCCCGUCUUCCUCCUCCGCCUCCCCGUCUUCCUCCUCCGCCUCCUACACUAUUCCUCUUCCGCCGCUCUCCAUGCCCUAGGCCUAGAGGCUCCAUCCAUGAGAUGUGGUCUCAGUAUUAGGUAGACGACGACGGCGGCCGGUGGCGCUCCCAUUCAUGGCCGGCGAGCAGAAGCUGCAACUUCCGUCGCGCCACGAGGACGGUUGGUUCAUCAUAUGAGGAGGUGUAUGCAUGAUGGUUUGGAGAAAGGAGGUUGCCAUUGGUACUUGAGGCCGUCAAGUUGAGGAAUUACGUUGGAUUGGUGGCACUCCAACUCACAAUCCAAACCCAACUCGAGUUCAUCUCCCCUUAUUCCUGUCCCACCCCACCGAUUAUACAUUUAGGCGAGCGGAGGGGAACCAACUAGGGUUUGAACUGCAUUGCUUAAAGUGGCACCAUCCAGUGAGUUUCUGUUAAACUACAUCUACAUCAAUUGCCCCACUAGCCAAUUUACAUUUUUUGCAGGAAGCUUUACACAUGUCCUCCCAUGCAACCAUUUGUUAGACAACAAAAUUAGUUGAUGAUUCCUAUGUAAUGAAUUUGGACAUUGUAUGUUAUUUCUUCAGAGUAAACACUAAUUGUUAGAUUAUCUGCAUGUUAGUGUGGUAUGUAUAUAUAUAUAAUAAUUCUCUCUUCCGGGAUUAAAAAAAAGCCAAGUUAACAUUUUAAGUUUUACAAAUUUUCCAGAUUUCUCAAAAUGAUUUCUAAUAUUGUGUAUAAUCUAUCUUUGGCAGUUCCAUAGUAAGAUUUUCAAAUUGUCACCCAUGCAAAAAAUUAAGCUAGAUGUAUGGCGUACUUGAGUUAUAUAGGUUCUGUUUACAGCACAUACAUGUACUGUGUUUGAAAAGGGAGCCAAAUCUAUGAUUUUAUUAUCAAACACACAUGAAAUUUUGCUGCAAAUGUAGCCAUGGAAUCCAUAUUUCCUAGGUUCAUUCCAAUAAAUAUGAUAUUUCUUUUGGAGUUCCAGUGUUUUGAUUUUAGAGAUGCUAACUUAUACAAAAAUAUGCUAAUAUAUAUUACCACCUAAGAUAUCAGAGUGCCCUUUUAGUGAUUUGCAUAUUUAAGGCGGGGAGGUAUAUACAUUGAUAAUGAUCCAAAUAUUGUCAGCUAAAUAUGUUUUUGUGAAAUUGACAGAUUUAUGUGUUCUAUUGUGAGCAGCAGAAUGUUUAGUGUACAUGCGUGACACUAUAUCUACUUCAAAUAGUACUGUAGACUAGGAACUGUAGAAAAAAUAUGUGAGAAAACUUAAUCACUACCAUACUAUUUGUAAGUAGGUUGCAAAUAGGACAUAUAAUCCUUAUACGAUCUUAACUACCUCCAAUUUCAGUAUGGUCGCGUCAUUGGUCACAUUGUAACUGUACCUUCUACUACAGGUUUGACUUGAAUUUUGGCUUCUGUACGUAUGGUGUUGGUUCGCCUCUCCAUAGGUUUCUACCUCCCGGAAUUCAUCUUCCUGUUGCCACAUAAUUACAUCAAUUGUUAUUGGAAAAUCAAUGUAUAGAUCCAUUGUUUCCCUCUAUAGUGCACAUGCUCUUAUAUUUGUUUUUGGACUGAUUCUUCCAUCGAUUUCUUGCUAUGUUUGGAUAACUAGAGUAUCUAAUUUGAAAUUAUCCAGUCUUCUGUAUGUUCACUUGCAUAGAUGGCUUAAUCUAGAACCUAAACUGAAGACUCAAUAUAGCACAUAUACUUGGCCAGUUAUCCUAAGAAUAUUAAUCCACCUGGACUUUUAACUUGACUUCCAAAGAAGUUCUUAACUAUCAAGCAUUUUUGAGUUUUUAGUAAACUGAAAUAAUGUUGCACUCUGACAAUACUAUUCUGAUUUUGUAAGUUAAUAGAAAUCCUUCAAUUUCAUACCACUUUUACAUUUGGAUGAUUGCGACAUUAUAUCUUCUCUGAAUUCCGCUUGCAUGUUUCCAGUUGAAACAGUAACUGAGUUUGAUAAGUAACCACUAUAUUAUUUUCUAUGUGUAAUUGGCAUGUACACAUGUUGUCGCUCUGCUUGAGUCAUCCAUCUCCACAUUACGAGCCUGAGACUUCCAUCACAACAAUCUAUAUGUAUCCAGGUAACAUGGAGUCUGCUCAUUUGUAACUGCAUAGGGAUAGGAACAGACUCCAUGUAAUUACAAAUGAGAACAUGGAUUCAGCUUAAGUUUGAGAAAGUGGCGGACAAAAGAGAACUGGACUAUUGUUGCUGAGCGAUAGCUCUGGCCGCAUGAUCAUCUAUGUAUAUAGUUUUUAACAAUAAAUGUAUCCUGAUUGGUAUAGCACAAUUGGAAAUCUUACUUUCUUCUGAUCUCUUAAUUUCAAGAUGAACUGGAGAGGGGAAUUUGUACUAAGUUUGGAAUCUGGCACAGUAAGUGUGUAUUUGCGGUAUUGAUGUAUAGUUAUUAAGAAAGUUACAUUUUUCCA
Molecule: long non-coding RNA, 2486 nt
Organism: Triticum aestivum (bread wheat)
Lineage: Eukaryota; Viridiplantae; Streptophyta; Magnoliopsida; Poales; Poaceae
Exons: 4
Source: RefSeq, a predicted model, not a curated record